This 274-nucleotide ribosomal RNA is filed under the name uncultured bacterium. Its description in RNAcentral is "partial 16S ribosomal RNA". It matches the Rfam family "Bacterial small subunit ribosomal RNA", at positions 523 to 796 of the family's 1533-position model. The record is from RNAcentral.
AUACGGAGGGUGCAAGCGUUAUCGGGAAUCAUUGGGUUUAAAGGGUCCGUAGGCGGACUAAUAAGUCAGGGGUGAAAUCCCACAGCUUAACUGUGGAACUGCCUUUGAUACUGUUAGUCUUGAGUUAUAUGGAAGUAGAUAGAAUGUGUAGUGUAGCGGUGAAAUGCUUAGAGAUUACACAGAAUACCGAUUGCGAAGGCAGUCUACUACAUAUAUACUGACGCUGAGGGACGAAAGCGUGGGGAGCGAACAGGAUUAGAAACCCCAGUAGUCC